GACACGGUGGUCUAGCGGUUAGAACGCUGGCCUUGUAAUCCUGGGGUCUCGGGUUCGAUUCCCGGCGGUGCCC
This is a non-coding RNA of Zootermopsis nevadensis, 73 nucleotides long. NCBI's taxonomy places the organism in Eukaryota, Metazoa, Arthropoda, Insecta, Blattodea, Termopsidae. The record is from Rfam.